GAAAAGAACCCCGGAAGGGGAGUGAAAGAGAACCUGAAACCGUGUGCUUACAAGCAGAGGGAGCGCAAGUGACCUCGUACUUUUUGUAGAACGGGCCGGCGAGUUACGUUGCGUUGCGAGGUUAAGGUACUAAGUACCGGAGCCGAAGCGAAAGCGAGUCUUAAUAGGGCGAGAAGUAGUGUGACGUAGACCCGAAACCUAAUGACCUACCCAUGAGCAGGAUGAAGCAGAAGUAAAAUUCUGUGGAGGUCCGAACGCACGCCUGUUGAAAUAGGCGGCGAUGACUUGUGGUUAGCGGAGAAAUUCCAAACGAAUUAGGAUAUAGCUGGUUCUCCUCGAAAUAGCUUUAGGGCUAGCCUCAACGUAGAGAGUAUCGGGGGUAGAGCACUGAAUGGGCUAGGGGCCUUCACGGGUUACCGAACCUUAUCAAACUGCGAAUACCGAAUACUUAUAGUUGGGAGUCAGACGGCGUGAGAUAAGUUUCGUCGUCAAAAGGGAAACAGCCCAGAUCCACAGCUAAGGUCCCAAAGUUCAGGUUAAGUGGUAAAGGAUGUGUCAUUGCAUAGACAACCAGGAUGUUGGCUUAGAAGCAGCCACACAUUAAAAGAGUGCGUAAUAGCUCACUGGUCGAGUGACGAUGCGCCGAAGAUUACCGGGGCUAAAACCUGACACCGAAGCUUGGGGAUAGACGAGAGUCUAUCGGUAGAGGAGCAAUCUGUAAGAGCAGAAGCGAAAUCGUAAGGUUUCGUGGAUUUUACAGAAGAGAGAAUGCCGGCAUGAGUAGCGAGAGGAAAGUGAGAAACUUUUCCGUCGAAAGCCUAAGGUUUCCUGGGGAAGGUUCGUCCACCCAGGGUAAGUCGGGACCUAAGUGGAGGCCGAAAGGCGUACAUGAUGGACAACAGGUAGAUAUUCCUGUACCACGACACGGAUAAGAGCAGGGACACAGAAGGAUAGUUGGACCAUGGGGAUGGAAACCAUGGACAAAUCAAGAGGCUAAGCAGUAGGAAGAAAACGCUGCUUAAAAGGCUGGUUGAUGAUGUGGAGUGAAAAAUAGUAGCGAAGCCAAUGAAUUCACGCUGGCGAGAAAAACUGCGUACUUAGAAGAAGUGAAGUGCCCGUACCGCAAACCGACACAGGUAGGCGGCAAGAGAAUUGCAAGACGAACGGGAUAACCAUUGUUAAGGAACUCGGCAAAAUGACCCCGUAACUUAGGGAUAAGGGGGGCCUACGCAAGUAGGCUGCAAAAAAUAGGCCCAAGCGACUGUUUAUCUAAAACACAGGUCUCUGCGAAAGCGCAAGCUGAAGUAUAGGGGCUGACGCCUGCCCGGUGCUGGAAGGUCAAGGGGAAAUGUUAGGAGCAAGUCCGAAGCAUAGAACUUAAGCCCCAGUGAACGGCGGCCGUAACUAUAACGGUCCAAAGGUAGCGAAAUUCCUUGUCAGGUAAGUUCUGACCCGCACGAAUGGCGUAAUGAUUUGGGAACUGUCUCAACAAGAGACCCGGCGAAAUUGUAGUAUACGUGAAGAUGCGUAUUAACCGCGACUGGACGGAAAGACCCCGUAGAGCUUUACUGUAGCUUGACAUUGAAUUUCGGUAAAGACUGUACAGGAUAGGUGGGAGACUUUGAACCAUGGGCGUCAGCUUGUGGGGAGUCGACGUUGGGAUACCACCCUAUCUUUGCUGAGGUUCUAACUCAAAGCGUUGAAUCACGAUUGAGGACAAUGUCAGGUGGGCAGUUUGACUGGGGCGGUCGCCUCCUAAAGAGUAACGGAGGCGUCCAAAGGUUCCCUCAGAAUGGUUGGAAACCAUUCGUAGAGCAUAAAGGUAUAAGGGAGCUUGACUGCGAGACAUACAAGUCGAGUAGAUACGAAAGUAGGGCUUAGUGAUCCGGCGGUAGAGAAUG
RNAcentral lists this ribosomal RNA (1901 nucleotides) under human gut metagenome. RNAcentral's name for it is "bacterial LSU rRNA". It matches the Rfam family "Bacterial large subunit ribosomal RNA", at positions 516 to 2435 of the family's 2925-position model. The record is from RNAcentral.